RNAcentral lists this long non-coding RNA (1395 nucleotides) under Nicotiana benthamiana. Its description in RNAcentral is "long non-coding RNA (NBEN_LNC015554)". Lineage: Eukaryota; Viridiplantae; Streptophyta; Magnoliopsida; Solanales; Solanaceae. The record is from RNAcentral.
GGAUACACUCCUCGAUACGAGGUGGCACCACCAUUUUACUUUUACCAACCAUGAUAAUGAAGAGGCUUUCUCUUUUUAGGGAACAAUUUUAGAUUUUUAGCUAUAAUGUCUUAGAUAUUCAAGAGAAGAGAAAAGGUUGAUGAUGAAGUAAGAAUAAAUUGAGAGAAAUGUGACCUUGGAAGUAAAGUUCGAAAAAUUGUGAAGUUGGCCUAUUUAUAGAGAUCAGUUAAGCGUAUUGGAAAAGCCAAAUAGCCGACUGUCAACCACUAAUGACCUUAGUAACUGUGCAGACACGACCUUUCAAUCACUUCAGACACUGACAUCACGAGAUUGGUAUCGAGAUAUUGAAGGGUUGAGAGUCAAUUUGUCUCUUAUCAUUUUAUUCUAAAAAAUGCGGGGACUAUUCGUAUACGGUUGAAAUCAAGUAUGCCUGAUUUACCGGGCUCGAGAUAUCGCUUACGAUUGAUUUCAGGUAAGGUUGAGUUCGAGCUUGACGGACCAGACUCGAGAUCGAAGACAACAUGCAAUGCCCGAGAUCGAAGUAUGCGAGGAAUAUCGGAGCCAAUUAUGAUCGACUCCGAGAUAGUUCCAUUGUGAGUUUGUUACAGAAGGACAAGAUUCUCGCCACGUCCCUAAGAUCAUGGCGUAAAUUCCGGAAUAGAUUUGUACGAAUCAGUAGAAAUCCGUAUUAGGUGAUUAUACAACUGUCUUCAUAAGAUUCUUUACUGUAAAUAGAAAUGUAUCUUAUUUAGGACAGCCCUCUUAUAUAAAGGGGACCCCAAUCAUUUGUAAAGAUCAUCUAAUCAUUGGCAAAGAAUAUAUUAUGUUACUUUUUCGCUCAUUAUUUAUUAGAAUUAUCCUUUAGCUUUAUUAUUCUGGCUUUAUUGUUCUUGACUGAUCUUGAGGUCGCUAGAGCUCGAGGUCAAUACUGCCUACUAACUUAUCUACUAGUUUGGUCUUGCUUAUUCCCUUCAUCUAUACUUCAUAUUUCUUGAUUACUAAUUGGUAUUGGACUAAAUCACGUAUCUUUAAAAUAACAAAUUAAAUUUAAUUGUUACUAGUAUUUUUAAGGUAAAAAACUAUAAAACAUUGUUCAUUCAUUAGACAAGAAGAAAAUUAUUAGGUAGCAAAUGAUGUUAACACAAUAAAUGUCUAGCUUUUAGGUUUGCAUAUUCAUCAAGUGUGUCAUUAAGCGAGUUUGGAACUAAAAUGUGGUUCUUUUGUGCACAAAGAACAAAAAUAUGUGGGAAAAAAACUUAGUGAUCAAAAUAUAUAUAGCUUUUCUUUGAAAGACGCUAUAUUUAACGGUCGUUUGGCUAGUUACGUAUAGCGUCUUUUUUAAAAGACGCUAUAUCUGAACUAAAAAAGCCGAAAACUAUAGCAUCUUUUGUUAAU